GUGAAUCAUCAAAUUUUUGAACGCAAAUUGCACUUUCUGGUAUUCCGGAAAGUAUGCCUGUUUGAGGGUCAGUUAAAUAAAAAUCGGUGUUGUUGCUGCCUUUCGUGGUGACGCGUCGGAUUUGAGUCGUCUUACCUUCGGUUAAGUGACUUAAAAUUUUUGAUUAUUUUUCGAAGUUAUUUAAAUUGUUUACGUCCGUUGAAAUUAU
This 208-nucleotide unclassified non-coding RNA is filed under the name Glomeraceae sp. RNAcentral describes it as "partial contains 5.8S ribosomal RNA and internal transcribed spacer 2". The stretch from base 1 to 71 matches the Rfam family "5.8S ribosomal RNA", at positions 84 to 154 of the family's 154-position model. Lineage: Eukaryota; Fungi; Glomeromycota; Glomeromycetes; Glomerales; Glomeraceae. The record is from RNAcentral.